ACCAUCAGCUGUUGUACACAGCAGUCAGUAGAUAUCUAGUGAGUUGCAUUGAUCACUGCCAUGCAUGGUCAGUAUAUAUACAACUAGAUCAGUGGUUUCUCUGUGAUGUCGUGCGGUCCAUAAUAAUAAUUUCAAUACAAGUGACACGUCUGUUGAAUCUCAUGCAGUUAGUGUUAUGUUAGUUAUCUGAAGGUAUUUGAAAUGCAAAUGUGCUUGUCACACAUAUAAUUAUUAUUGCCUAACCUCGAUCCACCACUACAUUCAUAGAAAACGUGUUCAUUUUAUUGCCCUCCAGUUUACUUAUACAUAUCCCUAUCACUACUCCUUGUAUAUACAGUGCUAGCCUCGAUUCAAGGCCGAUUAAAAUACGGCCUGGUACCUAUUGCAGGGGUGAUAGUGCGCAUGCGUUAGUUUAUUCACCAAAAUCUGGGGAAUCCCCUUUUUCUCCCUCAUCUAUUUUCUAUCUUUGUAAACAUCAGCUUAGCUCUCUAUUGCGUUGUUCCAGAAGGCUUUCACACUAGUCUGAAGCCAGGAGAGGCUCUCAUCUACCUCUAUGAUGGUUGUAUGGUCAGGAUGUCUUACCAUGGAUCUGUACAGGCUAUGGGAAGUGUAUGGUGCCUCAAACUGCUACUCACAAAGACAACCCGGCUAUAGGACAGUCCUCAGGGCGAUCCUAGGAUUCAGUCAAUGGAGGUGCUCAUUGCGCGCGAAGCGCGCCGCAAAAUUUAAACCACGCCCACUUCCGGGGAUAACGCCCCUUUUGUCGGCAACGCCCACUGUUUUCUAGAUGGUGCACAGUACUGACAUAUAAUCAGUACAGUGCCAUCCAGCAAGUCAAGAAUGUUUAUGACCAGAAGCUCAAUUCGCCUGGGGAUGGCAAACUCUAGCCAACUCUUCUUAAGGCCACUAAAAGAUUGAUCAGCUUACCAGGAGGUGACAGGCAGCGUACAAAGUAUGACCACCAGUACCUUGAUGUUGAGGAAAAGAGACUUUGUAGUUUACAUUGCAAACAUUGAUUAUUAUUAAUUUAUUGUACAUACAUGUAGGCUUAAUUAUAUAAUUAUACUAUACAUUCA
Halichondria panicea is the source of this 1076-nucleotide long non-coding RNA. RefSeq lists it as uncharacterized. Lineage: Eukaryota; Metazoa; Porifera; Demospongiae; Suberitida; Halichondriidae. The transcript is spliced from 2 exons. The record is from RefSeq and is a predicted model, not a curated record.